RNAcentral lists this ribosomal RNA (254 nucleotides) under uncultured bacterium. Its description in RNAcentral is "partial 16S ribosomal RNA". It matches the Rfam family "Bacterial small subunit ribosomal RNA", at positions 524 to 776 of the family's 1533-position model. The record is from RNAcentral.
UACGGAGGGUGCAAGCGUUAUCCGGAAUCACUGGGUUUAAAGGGUGCGUAGGCGGUCAGGUAAGUCAGUUGUGAAAUACCCCGGCUUAACCGGAGGAACUGCGAUUGAUACUGUUUGACUUGAAUCAGGUUGAGGUAGGCGGAAUGUGGCAUGUAGAGGUGAAAUGCUUAGAUAUGCCAUAGAACACCGAUUGCGAAGGCAGCUUGCUGGGCCUGUAUUGACGCUGAGGCACGAAAGCGUGGGGAGCAACCAGG